AACGAACGCUGGCGGCAUGCCUAACACAUGCAAGUCGAACGAGACCUUCGGGUCUAGUGGCGCACGGGUGCGUAACGCGUGGGAACCUGCCCUUAGGUUCGGAAUAACUCCCCGAAAGGGGUGCUAAUACCGGAUAAUGUCUUCGGACCAAAGAUUUAUCGCCUUUGGAUGGGCCCGCGUUGGAUUAGCUAGUUGGUAGGGUAAAAGCCUCCAAGGCGACGAUCCAUAGCUGGUCUGAGAGGAUGAUCAGCCACACUGGGACUGAGACACGGCCCAGACUCCUACGGGAGGCAGCAGUGGGGAAUAUUGGACAAUGGGCGAAAGCCUGAUCCAGCAAUGCCGCGUGAGUGAUGAAGGCCUUAGGGUUGUAAAGCUCUUUUACCCGGGAUGAUAAUGACAGUACCGGGAGAAUAAGCUCCGGCUAACUCCGUG
This 432-nucleotide ribosomal RNA is filed under the name uncultured bacterium. Its description in RNAcentral is "partial 16S ribosomal RNA". It matches the Rfam family "Bacterial small subunit ribosomal RNA", at positions 29 to 507 of the family's 1533-position model. The record is from RNAcentral.